AUGGCCCUCCUUCCUUAUAUCAAGGGCACUACAGAUAAAAUUAGCAAAAUCCUCCAUAAACACAAUAUCAAAACAGCCUUUUGCACCAACCAAAAAAUAGCCAAUAUCCUCAGAAACCCCAAGGAUAAAAUCCAGUUGGAAAACCAAGGGGUCUAUGAAAUACCCUGCAAAGUCUGCCCAGCCACGUACAUUGGACAAACAAACAGACGAAUAAAUGCACGUAUCGCAGAACACAAGAAUGCCGUCAAAAAAGAAGAAAAAACUUCCUCUCUUUUCCAACACAUGAAAGAAACAGGACACGAAAUUAAUUUUGCAGAUUCCAAAUUGCUCUUUAACAUGGAACAUCACCACAAGAGAAUAAUCAUGGAAGCCAUCGAGAUAGAGAAACACCCUCACAACAUGAACAAGCGUGACGACACAUCCCGCCUGUCAGACAUCUGGAAAUUAGCCCUCCCCACAAAAACCGACACCAGAUCCAGAGGCACACAGAACGCCAUCACCAAUCAACCACACCAGACCCAAACCCAGACCCUCUCCACAGAUAAAUUACAGACACCAUCCAGUAGCCAAACCAUGGUGGCACCUCCGGAUGCUGCACCCCCCUGCAAUCCCUACACAGAUCUGGCUGGCACAGGCCACAAAACCACAGCUCGCCCCUAUACACGAAGCCAAGCCAGAGCACAACUAAGUGCAGUACAGCCAUCUUCUCAGAAAAACUCUUCACAAAGUUCAAGAGGUCAAGACACGAAGGCUUUAGCAACUAAUCCACACCUAAUGACCCACCUAAGUGGUACUCAGGAUAUCACUCAAGAAAUCACUCAAGAUAUCCCUCAAGUAAUUAAGGAACAAAAGAAGAAAAGGCACACUAGCCUGGGAACUUCCUCUCUGCCCAGAACAUUGGAGGCUAUACACCACACCUCCUCAACAGUAUUUAUAGGAACUCAAACACUGAGAUCCUGCUCUGUUCCAGUAACAAGAAGCCGAAAGCACCAGCCUGAAGAUGACGAGUGA
This 1011-nucleotide long non-coding RNA is filed under the name Podarcis muralis (Common wall lizard). Its description in RNAcentral is "lncRNA (ENSPMRG00000008349.1)". The record is from RNAcentral. Lineage: Eukaryota; Metazoa; Chordata; Lepidosauria; Squamata; Lacertidae.